CAUGGUUGUCGUCAGCUCGUGUCGUGAGAUGUUGGGUUAAGUCCCGCAACGAGCGCAACCCUCGACCUUAGUUGCCAGCAUUCAGUUGGCACUCUAAGGUGACUGCCGGCUAAAAGUCGGAGGAAGGUGGGGAUGACGUCAAAUCAUCAUGCCCUUAUGACCUGGGCUACACACGUGCUACAAUGGGCGGUACAAAGGGUCGCGAACCCGCAGGGGGAGCCAAUCCCAAAAAGCCGCUCUCAGUUCGGAUUGUAGGCUGCAACUCGCCUGCAUGAAGCCGGAAUCGCUAGUAAUCGCGGAUCAGCAUGCCGCGGUGAAUACGUUCCCGGGCCUU
RNAcentral lists this ribosomal RNA (334 nucleotides) under uncultured Anoxybacillus sp. RNAcentral describes it as "bacterial SSU rRNA". It matches the Rfam family "Bacterial small subunit ribosomal RNA", at positions 1044 to 1382 of the family's 1533-position model. Lineage: Bacteria; Bacillati; Bacillota; Bacilli; Caryophanales; Anoxybacillaceae. The record is from RNAcentral.